UCGUCAGUUCGUAUGGUAAGAUGAGGGAUUAAGUCCAAAAACGAGCGCAACCCUUAUGUUCAGUAGCCAGCGGUUCGGCCGGGCACUCUGGGCAGACUGACAAGAAUAACCUGGAGGAAGGCGGGGAUGACGUCAAAUCAUCAUGCCCCUUAUGACCUGGGCUACACACGUGCUACAAUGGACGGAUCAGAGGGAAGCGAACCCGCGAGGGGGAGCGGAACCCAUAAACCCGUUCUCAGUUCGGACUGCAGCCUGCAACCCGGCUGCACGAAGCUGGAAUCGCUAGUAAUCGCGGAUCAGCAUGCCGCGGUGAAUACGUUCCCGGGCCUUGUACACACCGCCCGUCACACCAUGAGAGUCAGCAACGCCCGAAGCCGGCGGCCCAACCAGGAAUGGAGGGAGCUGUCUAAGGCGGGGCCGAUGAUUGGGGUGAAGUCGUAACAAGGUAGCCGUA
RNAcentral lists this ribosomal RNA (454 nucleotides) under uncultured bacterium. RNAcentral's name for it is "bacterial SSU rRNA". It matches the Rfam family "Bacterial small subunit ribosomal RNA", at positions 1052 to 1504 of the family's 1533-position model. The record is from RNAcentral.